CUCUCACACAAUGCUCAAGCCUCUCUCUUCCCUCAUCUGCUGGCUGUAUGUCAAUGCAGGAUGAACUGGAAAGGCGUUUGUUGAAGACAGCGGAGCAUCUGUCAGGCUGUUUCUGAAAGACUGUGGAGCAGAAUACCCUGAAUUUCCACUGCCUCUAAUUGAUAUUAUGGAGCUGCUGCAGCCAUUUUUCUGCCACAAGCAAAUGCUAAACCUUCGAAGCAGCACCACACAGUUCCUGGGUUAUAAAGGCUUUGUUCCUCAGAUGCUCAGGUCCCCAGAAGGUCAGCUCUCUGGGGCAGGCCAAGCCUGUAGUGUUCACUGGCUUCUCCACAAGCUUAGUGCCCAGCACUGUGCCAGACACCAAGAUGUCAGUGGUGAACAAGACAGUCUCAGCCUCCCAUGCUCAUGGCCUGAUUGAUAGAAUUUCUAGUGCCUUCGCCCCACUUCCCAGACACCAUCAGUGUCAAAUUCUGCUGGCCUGUCACCCAUUAAAAAUACACAUCACCUUGA
RNAcentral lists this long non-coding RNA (510 nucleotides) under Equus asinus (donkey). RNAcentral describes it as "lncRNA (ENSEASG00005023532.1)". The record is from RNAcentral. Lineage: Eukaryota; Metazoa; Chordata; Mammalia; Perissodactyla; Equidae.